Molecule: non-coding RNA, 83 nt
Organism: Felis catus (domestic cat)
Lineage: Eukaryota; Metazoa; Chordata; Mammalia; Carnivora; Felidae
Source: Rfam
GCCUGGGUGGCUCAGUUGAUUGAGUGUCUGACUUCAGCUCAGGUCAUGAUCUCAGUUUGUGAGUUCAAGCCCCACAUUAGGCU